RNAcentral lists this ribosomal RNA (341 nucleotides) under Selenoribatidae gen. sp. 2 AL-2018. Its description in RNAcentral is "partial large subunit ribosomal RNA". It matches the Rfam family "Eukaryotic large subunit ribosomal RNA", at positions 658 to 949 of the family's 3401-position model. The record is from RNAcentral. Lineage: Eukaryota; Metazoa; Arthropoda; Arachnida; Sarcoptiformes; Selenoribatidae.
AACACGGACCAAGGAGUCUAACAUGUGCGCGAGUCACUCGGUCUUGAAUAGGCCAGAGAGGCGCAAUGAAGGUAAAUGAAUUAAUUUAUGUUACGAUCGAGGCAAUUGAGUUGCAAUCUUUCGAUUGUGGCUGUUGUCUGGCGCAGUAACGGCCUGCCAAUUUCGCCUAUUGACGAUCUGGCAGAGUUGUAGCGUACACGUUGGUACCCGAAAGAUGGUGAACUAUGCCUGGGCAAGACGAAGCCAGAGGAAACUCUGGUGGAGGUCUGUAGCGAUUCUGACGUGCAAAUCGAUCGUCCGACCUGGGUAUAGGGGCGAAAGACUAAUCGAACCAUCUAGUA